Molecule: ribosomal RNA, 646 nt
Filed under: Klebsiella pneumoniae
Lineage: Bacteria; Pseudomonadati; Pseudomonadota; Gammaproteobacteria; Enterobacterales; Enterobacteriaceae
Description: bacterial SSU rRNA
Rfam family: Bacterial small subunit ribosomal RNA
Source: RNAcentral
AGAGCUUGCUCUCGGGUGACGAGCGGCGGACGGGUGAGUAAUGUCUGGGAAACUGCCUGAUGGAGGGGGAUAACUACUGGAAACGGUAGCUAAUACCGCAUAAUGUCGCAAGACCAAAGUGGGGGACCUUCGGGCCUCAUGCCAUCAGAUGUGCCCAGAUGGGAUUAGCUAGUAGGUGGGGUAACGGCUCACCUAGGCGACGAUCCCUAGCUGGUCUGAGAGGAUGACCAGCCACACUGGAACUGAGACACGGUCCAGACUCCUACGGGAGGCAGCAGUGGGGAAUAUUGCACAAUGGGCGCAAGCCUGAUGCAGCCAUGCCGCGUGUGUGAAGAAGGCCUUCGGGUUGUAAAGCACUUUCAGCGGGGAGGAAGGCGUUAAGGUUAAUAACCUUGGCGAUUGACGUUACCCGCAGAAGAAGCACCGGCUAACUCCGUGCCAGCAGCCGCGGUAAUACGGAGGGUGCAAGCGUUAAUCGGAAUUACUGGGCGUAAAGCGCACGCAGGCGGUCUGUCAAGUCGGAUGUGAAAUCCCCGGGCUCAACCUGGGAACUGCAUUCGAAACUGGCAGGCUAGAGUCUUGUAGAGGGGGGUAGAAUUCCAGGUGUAGCGGUGAAAUGCGUAGAGAUCUGGAGGAAUACCGGUGG